CUUGACAAGUAACAAAUACAUUACCUCACAUGAUAUCAUACAAGCAAGGGCUAUAAUUGCAUUGCAUAAAACUAAAAUUUUUUGGAGGAACCCUAUCACUCAGAUUGCUAAAAGAAAAACACUUCCAUUUGCAGCAUCUGAUUACCACAAUUUUUGCUGGUAAUUCAAAAAGGGAAAACCAUACAUUACAUUAAAGGAACAACCUUUUAGUUAAAUAAUUGUGACCACGAAUAUGAAACUGGACUUCUAACUUGGUUUUGAGCAUUAUUCCAAGAUAUCGAACCAAAUGUAGUCUUGCUCAUCGUGCUAACACCCUUCUUUGACACGAAUGUAACUGUGUAUCGCAGCCUCUCUCCUACCUUUUUGAAUACAAGCUUUGAUGGCUUCACAGUCACAGUAACAGACGGGGGAGCAUCAAUGACUACCUCAUAGGUAGAGCCUGCAGCUCCCACAUUGGUCAAGGUACGGGUGUAACGAACAACCCUUGAUUUGCCAAACAAAACUGCAAACGAUGGGUAGUUGAUCUGCCCAGGAUCUGAAAAUUUCUUAGCACAAGUGACAUUUGGGCGCUUGACAAUGGCUUGUAUGUGUUCCAUCUCAUAGUCCAACGAGCAUAAGAACUUGAUGUACUCCUUAGGCCUAAUAUCAUAGACAAGACCCGGGGAGAGUGCCUUGUGAGGAUCAACAUGACCUGCUCCAUGAGCCCAUGGAGUGGAAAGUUGAUCACCUUCGGCAUCACGAAGAGGGGAGUUAGUGGUGUCGCGAUUAUAGGCAGUUGUCAUAAGUGCAGAUUUGAUUGCACUUGGACUCCAUUCAGGAUGUGCUGCUUUCAGCAGUGCAGCCAGUCCACUGAUAUGAGGACAGGACAUGGAUGUACCAGACAUGAUGUUGAACUUGGUCCUCCUGGUAUCUUUCUCAAGGCCAGUAGGGCCAAUAGCCUCAGACCAAGCUGCCAAUAUGUUAACUCCAGGUCCAAUUAAAUCAGGCUUCAAUAUCUGUGGAGUCACUGUAUUAGGCCCUCUUGAGCUAAACGCUGCCACUACCGGCGAUGGCUUAACGUUUACCACCGUACCUCCAAAGCUGAGCAAUGCAGUCGGAUUCCUCUCACUCUUCACAUACUGCCUAAUCGCAUUUCCUAAUUUCCUACCAACAGCCACCGCAGGUAACAAAUGACUGUCUGCCACCAGCUCCUCACCACUCUCGACGGUGUUGGCCAAUAUCAUCCCAACCCCACCAGCUUCUUUCACAACUAGACCCUUCUCAACUCUAGCAUUAGUCCCUCUGUCACAUACCACUAUCUUCCCACGAACAUCUUUAGGGUUUAGGGAACCAGGCAAGCAAAGGCUAGAGCUACUAUCUGUGUUGUAAACUAAGCUAACUAGCUUUUUACCCAUACCUUUACCACUGUAUAAAGACACACCAGUAAUCUUUUUGCCAUUACCUAAAACAGCAUAAGCAGGGAAAUCACGGUCUAUGGUACCAGCACCAACAGUCAUAAUCCAUGGAGCUGUAUUUGCAAGUGAAGCUUUAGCAGGACCGCUGUUACCUGCAGAACACGACACAACAAUUCCUUUCUCCAUUGCAGAGAAACCACCAAUAGCAAUGGUAUCACGAUAAUAAGGACCUGAUCCACCACCCAAAGAUAAAGAUAACACAUCAACCCCAUCCAAAAUAGCACGGUCCAUACCUGCAAGAAUAUCAGACCCAAAACAACCAGUAGGCCAACACACCUUGUAAGUAGCUACACGGGCACGAGGAGCCAUACCACGAGCGAUUCCACUAGCAUAACCAAAAAGGCUAGCGUUACCCACUGGUGCACCAGCGGCGGUACUGGCUGUAUGGGUGCCAUGACCGUCCUGAUCCCGAGGCGAUUCCGGCUGUCUGGGUUGAUUCGCAAAUGAACUAGAAGACGACAUACGGUAACCUUUAGCGAAAAAUCUCGCACCAACCAGUUUCUUGUUGCAAUGUACCUUUGGAUCGAAAUCAGGUCCAGAUUCACAUUCCCCACGCCAUCUGGACGGCACAUCAGGCAUACCCACAUCACUAAAACUCUUAGAUUCAGGCCAAACACCGGUAUCAAGCACUCCAAUAAUAACAUCCUGAGCAGCACUAUUAAGCUCUUGUUGAGUAUGCCCAGCCCAAACCCCCAACUCAUUAUCCAACCCAAGAAACUCAGGGGUCCGAGUAGUAUGAAGUGUAUAAACAGUAUCCUCAUACACCCCAACUACAUCCUCAGACUGUCGGAGCAAUUCAGCCUCAUGGGGGUCAAGAGAAGCAGCAAAUCCAGGAUAAGCAGUAUCGUAAGAGUAAAGAAGAGAUUCAGAGUUGGAAGAAGAAGAAAGAGAUUUCAACUGAGCAUCGUACCAAUCAUGAUGAGUAGAAUAAGAAGGCGGCUUUUGUUGAUGUUUCACAUGAACAAUGUAAGUUUUCUUUGCGAAACAUGGGUGAAGAACAAGGAGAAAAGCAAUGAGAGAGAAACAGAAAAGAGAACCCAUCGGAAAAGCAAGAACAGAAGAGGAGACAGUCGCCGGUAAAUGCG
RNAcentral lists this unclassified non-coding RNA (2539 nucleotides) under Hevea brasiliensis (rubber tree). Lineage: Eukaryota; Viridiplantae; Streptophyta; Magnoliopsida; Malpighiales; Euphorbiaceae. The record is from RNAcentral.